Molecule: ribosomal RNA, 233 nt
Filed under: uncultured bacterium
Lineage: Bacteria
Description: partial 16S ribosomal RNA
Rfam family: Bacterial small subunit ribosomal RNA
Source: RNAcentral
GACGAACGCUGGCGGCGUGCUUAACACAUGCAAGUCGAGCGGUAAGGCCCUUUGGGGUACACGAGCGGCGAACGGGUGAGUAACACGUGAGUAAUCUGCCUUUGGCUUGGGAAUAACUUCGGGAAAUCGGGGCUAAUGCCUGAUGUUUACUGUCUGCUGCAUGGUGGGUGGUGGAAAGAUUUUUUGGCCAGGAGUGAGCUCGCGGUCUAUCAGCUUGUUGGUGGGGUAAGUGG